UCAAGAACCUUCCGCAAUGGGCGAAAGCCUGAUCUAGCCAUGCCGCGUGAGCGAUGAAGGCCUUAGGGUUGUAAAGCUCUUUCAGGGGGGAAGAUAAUGACGGUACCCCCAGAAGAAGCCCCGGCUAACUCCGUGCCAGCAGCCGCGGUAAUACGGAGGGGGCUAGCGUUGUUCGGAAUUACUGGGCGUAAGGCGCACGUAGGCGGACUGGAAAGUCAGGGGUGAAAUCCCGGGGCUCAACCCCGGAACUGCCUUUGAAACUCCCAGUCUUGAGGUCGAGAGAGGUAAGUGGAAUUCCGAGUGUAGAGGUGAAAUUCGUAGAUAUUCGGAGGAACACCAGUGGCGGAGGCGGCUCACUGGCUCGAUACUGACGCUGAGGUGCGAAAGCGUGGGGAGCAAA
This 400-nucleotide ribosomal RNA is filed under the name uncultured bacterium. RNAcentral's name for it is "bacterial SSU rRNA". It matches the Rfam family "Bacterial small subunit ribosomal RNA", at positions 355 to 772 of the family's 1533-position model. The record is from RNAcentral.